AGAGUUUGAUCCUGGCUCAGAUUGAACGCUGGCGGUAUGCUUAACACAUGCAAGUCGAACGGAAACGACAAGAGCUUGCUCUUGGGCGUCGAGUGGCGGACGGGUGAGUAACGCGUAGGAAUCUGCCUAGUAGUGGGGGAUAGCCCAAGGAAACUUGGAUUAAUACCGCAUAAUAUCUAUGGAUUAAAGUGGAGGAUCUUCGGACUUCACGCUACUAGAUGAGCCUGCGUAAGAUUAGUUAGUUGGUGAGGUAAAAGCUCACCAAGGCGACGAUCUUUAGCUGGUCUGAGAGGAUGAUCAGCCACACUGGGACUGAGACACGGCCCAGACUCCUACGGGAGGCAGCAGUGGGGAAUAUUGGACAAUGGGGGCAACCCUGAUCCAGCAAUACCGCGUGUGUGAAGAAGGCCUGAGGGUUGUAAAGCACUUUCAAUUGUGAAGAAAAGUUAAGGAUUAAUACCCCUUAGCCUUGACGUUAACUUUAGAAGAAGCACC
This 495-nucleotide ribosomal RNA is filed under the name uncultured marine bacterium. RNAcentral's name for it is "bacterial SSU rRNA". It matches the Rfam family "Bacterial small subunit ribosomal RNA", at positions 8 to 494 of the family's 1533-position model. The record is from RNAcentral.